UACGUAGGGGGCGAGCGUUGUCCGGAAUCAUUGGGCGUAAAGCGCGUGUAGGCGGCCCGGUAAGUCCGCUGUGAAAGUCCAGGGCUCAACCCUGGGAUGCCGGUGGAUACUGUCGGGCUCGAGUCCGGAAGAGGCGAGUGGAAUUCCCGGUGUAGCGGUGAAAUGCGCAGAUAUCGGGAGGAACACCAAUGGCGAAGGCAGCUCGCUGGGACGGUACUGACGCUGAGACGCGAAAGCGUGGGGAGCAAACAGG
This 253-nucleotide ribosomal RNA is filed under the name uncultured bacterium. RNAcentral describes it as "partial 16S ribosomal RNA". It matches the Rfam family "Bacterial small subunit ribosomal RNA", at positions 524 to 776 of the family's 1533-position model. The record is from RNAcentral.